UAACGUAGCGAAAGUUACGCUAAUACCGCAUAUUCUGUGAGCAGGAAAGCAGGGGAUCGCAAGACCUUGCGCUGAUUGAGCGGCCGAUAUCAGAUUAGCUAGUUGGUGAGGUAAAGGCUCACCAAGGCGACGAUCUGUAGCGGGUCUGAGAGGAUGAUCCGCCACACUGGAACUGAGACACGGUCCAGACUCCUACGGGAGGCAGCAGUGGGGAAUUUUGGACAAUGGGCGCAAGCCUGAUCCAGCCAUGCCGCGUGAGUGAAGAAGGCCUUCGGGUUGUAAAGCUCUUUCGGCCGGGAAGAAAUCGCACGGGUUAAUACCCUGUGUGGAUGACGGUACCGGAAUAAGAAGCACCGGCUAACUACGUG
RNAcentral lists this ribosomal RNA (368 nucleotides) under uncultured bacterium. RNAcentral describes it as "bacterial SSU rRNA". It matches the Rfam family "Bacterial small subunit ribosomal RNA", at positions 144 to 507 of the family's 1533-position model. The record is from RNAcentral.